ACACGGUGGAUAACUCCAUGCUGGAAGGUUACUGAAGCUUAUACGCACCAGUCUGCCUGCCAGCCUUAUAGAAUGCCUGUCUCUGGCGUCCUAAAGGGAGAGUAGCUGCAGAAGGUCUCAGCUGUCUGGACUUGCACCCAAGGAUCAAGGCCUCCUUGUUCUGUAGCCUUUAGUAGAACCCAGUAUACAAACAGAGAGGCAAACCCAGGAGCUGUUUAUCUCAAGUCUGGAAUUAAUGUACGUCACAGAGCCACAGAUGACACGUCCCGUCUUAAGUUCUGCUGUCUCAUCUGAAGGGGUCGUCAGUCCUGGCCAUUAGUCUUCUUUGUUAAGCCCAGCUCAAGGAGGGGAUUUUCGACCCAUCUUCCAUUAUACUGGGGAUAUGUUAUGGUCUGUCCAGAAUGUUGGAGGCAGUGCAGUCUGAGUGAAUUAAUACGCUCUGCCAAUCCUGCCUGUCAGGAUGAGGGAGGUGGUUGGGACUAAUGUGUGACCCCUGCAAAGGCAGAAACCAGAGCACGCUGGCCAGUCGGUAAACACAGGAUUCAACAGUCAGUUCCAAAGUCACUCGGAGUCAGUGAAAUCAACCUUGAGAAUAAAUCGUUUUAAAUGAGUUGUCAGAUGUACAGAAUGCA
Long non-coding RNA from Mesocricetus auratus (golden hamster), 632 nucleotides. RefSeq lists it as uncharacterized. The transcript has 2 exons. The record is from RefSeq and is a predicted model, not a curated record. Lineage: Eukaryota; Metazoa; Chordata; Mammalia; Rodentia; Cricetidae.